ACUCCUACGGGAGGCAGCAGUGGGGGAUAUUGCACAAUGGAGGAAACUCUGAUGCAGCGACGCCGCGUGAGGGAAGAAGGCCUUCGGGUUGUAAACCUCUGUCUUCGGGGACGAACAAAUGACGGUACCCGAGGAGGAAGCCACGGCUAACUACGUGCCAGCAGCCGCGGUAAU
This 174-nucleotide ribosomal RNA is filed under the name uncultured bacterium. RNAcentral describes it as "partial 16S ribosomal RNA". It matches the Rfam family "Bacterial small subunit ribosomal RNA", at positions 335 to 524 of the family's 1533-position model. The record is from RNAcentral.